CCGCGCCGCCCGCGACUCGCGAAUCGCACUGUGUGUCGUCUGUCAGUCUUGCACGCGUCUCUCCGAAGAGAUAGACGCUCUAGACGCCCCCGACUGCCGACGUCGCGACGCUCGUGCCGACGAACAACCGCGUUUCACUCGCUGUUUUGGCCGUUGUUGGAUCGGUCUCGAAAAAAAACAAUAACAUUGUCGGAUAAUUGUGCGUUUUUUUUUCUCGUUAUUUGAGGAGGUUUUUUUUGUUUACCGCUGGUUUUUUGGAAGGAGUUGUUGGAUUUUUCGAUUGGAAGUGGAGAUCUUUCCAGAGAAGACUAGAGUUGUGUGAAUCUAACAUAAGGAUAUCGACUGAGAAUUGCUGUGAAAUUAAUUUGCACCAACAGAAGCGGAAGCGGAAAGGUCCUUGAAGGAAGACAAAAUUCAACAUAUCCUGACAUAUCGUCAUGUUAAUUCCUUGGUUUCUUAGCCUUUUCAUAGGCGUAGUAUGGGG
RNAcentral lists this long non-coding RNA (484 nucleotides) under Sitophilus oryzae (rice weevil). Its description in RNAcentral is "uncharacterized LOC115891626, transcript variant X1". Lineage: Eukaryota; Metazoa; Arthropoda; Insecta; Coleoptera; Curculionidae. The record is from RNAcentral.